CCGUGCUAGACGGGGAGCUAGCGGUGCCCUGCACCCGAAAUCCGCUUCAUGCGGGGUCGAAUCCCUCCCCGAGGCCUGGUCCCGGUACCGCUGGUCCGGGCCGGACGCAAAGAGCUGGGCCCUGCGCGGCGGAGACCCGUGAACCCCGUCAGGUCCGGAAGGAAGCAGCGGUAAGCGGAUCGCUCCGGGUGCCGCAGACAAGCCUGGCUCAAGUCCGGUCCAAUGGGCCAAGUGCCGGGCCGCCAGUUCGACGGGAGGUGCACGG
Molecule: signal recognition particle RNA, 265 nt
Filed under: Chloroflexota bacterium
Lineage: Bacteria; Bacillati; Chloroflexota
Also listed under: 1 other name
Description: Chloroflexi bacterium signal recognition particle sRNA large type
Rfam family: Bacterial large signal recognition particle RNA
About the family: The signal recognition particle (SRP) is a universally conserved ribonucleoprotein involved in the co-translational targeting of proteins to membranes.
Source: RNAcentral